CUAAGAAUAUUCCGCAAUGGACGAAAGUCUGACGGAGCGACGCCGCGUGGAUGACGAAGGCCGAAAGGUUGUAAAGUCCUUUUGCUGGGGAAGAAUAACCAUGGGAGGGAAUGCCCGUGGGAUGACAUUAACCGGCGAAUAAGCCCCGGCUAACUACGUGCCAGCAGCCGCGGUAACACGUAGGGGGCGAGCGUUGUUCGGAAUUACUGGGCGUAAAGGGCAUGUAGGCGGCUCUGUAAGCCUGGCGUGAAAGUCACCGGCUCAACCGGUGGAUUGCGCUGGGAACUGCGGGGCUUGAAUCAUGGAGAGGGAGCUAGAAUUCCUGGUGUAGGGGUGAAAUCUGUAGAGAUCAGGAAGAAUACCAGUGGCGAAGGCGAGCUCCUGGCCAAUGAUUGACGCUGAGGUGCGAAAGUGUGGGGAUCAAACAGG
This 429-nucleotide ribosomal RNA is filed under the name uncultured bacterium. RNAcentral's name for it is "bacterial SSU rRNA". It matches the Rfam family "Bacterial small subunit ribosomal RNA", at positions 355 to 776 of the family's 1533-position model. The record is from RNAcentral.